This 469-nucleotide ribosomal RNA is filed under the name uncultured bacterium. Its description in RNAcentral is "bacterial SSU rRNA". It matches the Rfam family "Bacterial small subunit ribosomal RNA", at positions 32 to 524 of the family's 1533-position model. The record is from RNAcentral.
AAUCAACGCUGGCGGCGCGCUUAACACAUGCAAGUCGAACGAGAAAGCAGGGGCAACUCUGUGAGUACAGUGGCGUACGGGUGAGUAACACGUGGAUCAUCUACCCUGGAGUGGGGAAUAACGCUGGGAAACCGGCGCUAAUACCGCAUAAUCCCGAGAGGGCAAAGGAGCAAUUUGCUUCAGGAGGAGUCCGCGGCCGAUUAGCUUGUUGGUAGGGUAAAAGCCUACCAAGGCUGCGAUCGGUAGCCGGCCUGAGAGGGCACACGGCCACACUGGCACUGAAACACGGGCCAGACUCCUACGGGAGGCAGCAGUGGGGAAUCUUGCACAAUGGGGGCAACCCUGAUGCAGCGACGCCGCGUGAGCGAUGAAGCCCUUCGGGUGUAAAGCUCUUUCGGUCAGGGAAGAUUAUGACGGUACCUGCAGAAGCAGCUGCGGCUAACUACGUGCCAGCAGCCGCCGCGGUAAG